This is a long non-coding RNA of Lolium perenne, 868 nucleotides long. RefSeq lists it as uncharacterized. NCBI's taxonomy places the organism in Eukaryota, Viridiplantae, Streptophyta, Magnoliopsida, Poales, Poaceae. The record is from RefSeq and is a predicted model, not a curated record.
GUCGGCGGCACCGAGAAGGAACCCUUGGAACCGAAGGUGCUGCUGCUGGAAUCGGUCGCAUUGCUGCUGCUGCUCUUGGAGUUGUUACCUGGAUGGCAAAGCAAGCGCUCAGAUGCAAAACCAAGCAACCCAAGUUGGGUUCUUCAUCCCAACAGUGAAAAGGAGAAAAUUGAGAAACGCUCGUUCCUUCCUCUGAAGAAUUAACAGGGGCAAAACACAACCAAGAAGCAGAGCACACAAGCUAUCUUAGAGUUAGACACUUGAUGCAACCAAGAACCAUAGCAUAGCAUAGCAAAGCGGAGCUGAGUGGUACCUGUGGAGUUGGGGGCACUGAAGGAGGGGUUGAUCUCGGCGUUCCCCUGCACGCCGGCGCAGUUCCCCAUCAGGAAGGAGCAACAACAAUACCGGCCAGUCCAACCCCGAGGCACAAGAUUUGGUCUUCGAUAGUUUUUAGCUAGAACUGGUUGCUUCAUGUGGCCGUGUCAUUCCUUCCCUGCUCUGCCUGCCUGCUAGCUAUCAUUGCUGCCUGCGAGCGAGGGUGGUACUGGUAUGGUGGGAGAGGGGCAGCCGUGGCGUGGGGUCACUCGCCUCCCUCAUUAAUGAAGAGAAAGCCUUUUCUUCUCCUCUCUGCGUCCAUGUGAUUCAGCUGUUUGGCUUUUUGGCUGUUUUCUUUGGUUUUUCAUGCAUGCCCACCGUUGUUUGCGGCGAAACCAGACCGGGGUGGACUGAACUUCCAUGCCACAAAGGGGGAAUGUCUUCUAGGCCAUCUCUAGAGCGGUUCGAUCUAUUUCGAGCUUCAAGAUAUGUUUGUUUUGGUUUGUUUGGAGCAGUGAACAUAAAUUUAAUUUUAUUCUCCCUCUUAUUUGUU